AGAGUUUGAUCAUGGCUCAGGAUGAACGCUAGCGGCAGGCUUAAUACAUGCAAGUCGAGGGGCAGCAGGGGUGUAGCAAUACACUCGCUGGCGACCGGCAAACGGGUGCGGAACACGUACGCAACUUACCCAAAACUGAUGAAUAGCCCUCCGAAAGGAGGAUUAAUACAUCGUAACAUAAUAGAAAGGCAUCUUUUUAUUAUUAUAGCUCCGGCGGUUUUGGAUGGGCGUGCGGCUGAUUAGGUAGUUGGCGGAGUAAUAGCCCACCAAGCCUGCGAUCAGUAACUGGUGUGAGAGCACGACCAGUCACACGGGCACUGAGACACGGGCCCGACUCCUACGGGAGGCAGCAGUAAGGAAUAUUGGUCAAUGGACGCAAGUCUGAACCAGCCAUGCCGCGUGGAGGAUGAAGGUCCUCUGGAUUGUAAACUUCUUUUAUUUGGGAAGAAAUCCUUAUAUUCUUAUGAGGUUGACGGUACCAGAUGAAUAAGCACCGGCUAACUCCGUGCCAGCAGCCGCGGUAAUACGGAGGGUGCAAGCGUUAUCCGGAUUCACUGGGUUUAAAGGGUGCGUAGGUGGGUCUGUAAGUCCGUGGUGAAAUCUCCGAGCUUAACUUGGAAACUGCCAUGGAUACUAUAGGUCUUGAAUACCGUGGAGGUGAGCGGAAUAUGUCAUGUAGCGGUGAAAUGCUUAGAUAUGACAUAGAACACCAAUUGCGAAGGCAGCUCACUACACGAAUAUUGACACUGAGGCACGAAAGCGUGGGGAUCAAACAGGAUUAGAUACCCUAGUAGUCC
This 797-nucleotide ribosomal RNA is filed under the name uncultured bacterium. RNAcentral's name for it is "bacterial SSU rRNA". It matches the Rfam family "Bacterial small subunit ribosomal RNA", at positions 8 to 796 of the family's 1533-position model. The record is from RNAcentral.